CCACUUGGGAUAUUUUCUAUUUAUAGGUGACGUAAACAUAGUGUGUAUUCUAUAUGCUAUAUUUUCUACUUUUUUUAGUUGGCUAAUGAUACCUACUGAGUACAAGUAGACCAUACUAACCCCUACUACACCUUUUUGGUGCAGAUCUAGGCAUGAAUGCACUACAAGGUAGCUGGUUCAGUAAAUAUCUAGAUUGUAUUUGAGGUAGC
Molecule: long non-coding RNA, 209 nt
Filed under: Capsicum annuum
Lineage: Eukaryota; Viridiplantae; Streptophyta; Magnoliopsida; Solanales; Solanaceae
Description: long non-coding RNA (CANN_LNC004879)
Source: RNAcentral